This 66-nucleotide transfer RNA is filed under the name human gut metagenome. It matches the Rfam family "tRNA". Rfam says of the family: Transfer RNA (tRNA) molecules are approximately 80 nucleotides in length. Their secondary structure includes four short double-helical elements and three loops (D, anti-codon, and T loops). The record is from RNAcentral. RNAcentral also lists the same sequence under 1 other name.
GGGGUAGAGCAGUGGUAGCUCGUCAGGCUCAUAACCUGAAGGCCGGAGGUUCAAAUCCUUCCCCCG